UGGGGAAUAUUGGACAAUGGGCGCAAGCCUGAUCCAGCCAUGCCGCGUGUGUGAAGAAGGCCUUCGGGUUGUAAAGCACUUUCAGCGAGGAGGAAGGGAGUUGUGUUAAUAGCACAGCUUCUUGACGUUACUCGCAGAAGAAGCACCGGCUAACUCUGUGCCAGCAGCCGCGGUAAUACAGAGGGUGCAAGCGUUAAUCGGAAUUACUGGGCGUAAAGCGCACGUAGGCGGUUUUUAAGUCAGAUGUGAAAGCCCCGGGCUCAACCUGGGAAUUGCAUUUGAAACUGGAAAACUAGAGUGUGUGAGAGGGGGGUAGAAUUCCAAGUGUAGCGGUGAAAUGCGUAGAGAUUUGGAGGAAUACCAGUGGCGAAGGCGGCCCCCUGGCACAACACUGACGCUCAGGUGCGAAAGCGUGGGGAGCAAACAGGAUUAGAUACCCACGUAGUCCCUGAGCGGGCUGGCAAGGCGCAU
This 471-nucleotide ribosomal RNA is filed under the name uncultured bacterium. Its description in RNAcentral is "bacterial SSU rRNA". It matches the Rfam family "Bacterial small subunit ribosomal RNA", at positions 355 to 825 of the family's 1533-position model. The record is from RNAcentral.